This is a non-coding RNA of Peptoniphilus lacrimalis DNF00528, 45 nucleotides long. The record is from Rfam. Lineage: Bacteria; Bacillati; Bacillota; Tissierellia; Tissierellales; Peptoniphilaceae.
AGUGUAGUCUCCUAAAUACACAAAGCCCUUGUUAUAGGGCUUUUU